UUUGUGAUUUCUAUUACUGAGAAUUAUUUCUUAAUAAUUGAUAGAUAAAUGGUGGCACAUAAUCGGAGGCCCCGACUGUUUACUAAAAACACAACACAGUGCAAUCAUUAAUAUGGUAGUAUACUGUGUGAAAUUUGCCCAAUGCCAUUAAUAUAAAAGCGGUCAUAGGAAACUGUGACUAAUUGAAAAUCUGGUUAAUAGCGGUCUUAACCAUGAGGAUCCUAAGGUAGCAAAAUAAAUUGGCCAUUAAAUGUGGUCCGGUAUCAAUAAUGUAACGAUGGCCUCACUGUCUCUACAACUUGCUCAGUGAAAUUGAAUUACGCGUGCAGAUGCGCGUUACCUCCAGUGGGACGGGAAGACCCUAUGCAGCUUCUACUGAGGGGGUGCGGGGAUGGUGGGGUAAUAG
Molecule: ribosomal RNA, 406 nt
Filed under: Amanita diemii
Lineage: Eukaryota; Fungi; Basidiomycota; Agaricomycetes; Agaricales; Amanitaceae
Description: LSU rRNA
Rfam family: Bacterial large subunit ribosomal RNA
Source: RNAcentral